RNAcentral lists this ribosomal RNA (253 nucleotides) under uncultured bacterium. Its description in RNAcentral is "partial 16S ribosomal RNA". It matches the Rfam family "Bacterial small subunit ribosomal RNA", at positions 524 to 776 of the family's 1533-position model. The record is from RNAcentral.
UACGUAGGGUCCGAGCGUUGUCCGGAAUUAUUGGGCGUAAAGAGCUCGUAGGCGGUUUGUCGCGUCUGCUGUGAAAUCCCGAGGCUCAACCUCGGGCCUGCAGUGGGUACGGGCAGACUGGAGUGCGGUAGGGGAGAAUGGAAUUCCUGGUGUAGCAGUGGAAUGCGCAGAUAUCAGGAGGAACACCGAUGGCGAAGGCAGUUCUCUGGGCCGUAACUGACGCUGAGGAGCGAAAGCGUGGGGAGCGAACAGG